This 442-nucleotide ribosomal RNA is filed under the name uncultured bacterium. RNAcentral's name for it is "partial 16S ribosomal RNA". It matches the Rfam family "Bacterial small subunit ribosomal RNA", at positions 338 to 795 of the family's 1533-position model. The record is from RNAcentral.
CCUACGGGAGGCAGCAGUGGGGGAUAUUGCACAAUGGGGGAAACCCUGAUGCAGCGACGCCGCGUGGGCGAAGAAGUAUUUCGGUAUGUAAAGCCCUAUCAGCAGGGGAGAAGAAAUGACGGUACCUGAGUAAGAAGCACCGGCUAAAUACGUGCCAGCAGCCGCGGUAAUACGUAUGGUGCAAGCGUUAUCCGGAUUUACUGGGUGUAAAGGGAGCGCAGGCGGCACGGCAAGCCUGAUGUGAAAGCCCGCGGCCCAACCGCGGGACUGCAUUGGGAACUACCGGGCUGGAGUGCCGGAGAGGUAGGCGGAAUUCCUAGUGUAGCGGUGAAAUGCGUAGAUAUUAGGAGGAACACCAGUGGCGAAGGCGGCUUACUGGACUGUAACUGACGUUGAGGCUCGAAAGCGUGGGGAGCAAACAGGAUUAGAUACCCGGGUAGUC